UAUUAUAUAGUGAUAACGACUAUGUAUUACAUAUUAGUAUUAAAAAUUUGCUAUAAAAAGUUUAACUGAUAAAAGUGUGCUAGUUUAUUUCAAAAUAUACAAUGGCUAAAAACCUUAGUAAAUACUUGAAGGUCCAUUGAUAAAGUUAAGGCUUAUUUUGCUGUCAAAAGCUCCCAAAAUCGAAAAUAUACCAUAAAAAUGAGAUUCAUCUACUUAAUGAUGAUUCUAGUGGCAAAGGAAAACUGCUGGAGAGAUCACCGUGGAAAUUGCAUUCCACGCGGCACUAAAGGAAAUGACAACAAUAUCACAAAGAAAGUCGCAGAAUCGAACCCAGCGAACUAGAAUACACAAACGAUUAUAUCGUAAUAUCAAGUAAAACAUUGUUAUAUUGUAUAUCAUUUGUGGAAAAAACAAUAAAGAAACCAGAUCGCAGAUAUUUCAUAA
Non-coding RNA from Bactrocera oleae (olive fruit fly), 444 nucleotides. Lineage: Eukaryota; Metazoa; Arthropoda; Insecta; Diptera; Tephritidae. The record is from RefSeq and is a predicted model, not a curated record.